This 551-nucleotide ribosomal RNA is filed under the name Papiliotrema laurentii. RNAcentral describes it as "eukaryotic LSU rRNA". It matches the Rfam family "Eukaryotic large subunit ribosomal RNA", at positions 117 to 657 of the family's 3401-position model. The record is from RNAcentral. Lineage: Eukaryota; Fungi; Basidiomycota; Tremellomycetes; Tremellales; Rhynchogastremaceae.
GAAAUCUGGCGUCCUCAGGGCGUCCGAGUUGUAAUCUAUAGAGGCGUUUUCCGUGCCGGACCGUGUCCAAGUUCCUUGGAACAGGAUAUCAAAGAGGGUGACAAUCCCGUACUUGACACGACGACCGGUGCUCUGUGAUACGUCUUCUACGAGUCGAGUUGUUUGGGAAUGCAGCUCAAAAUGGGUGGUGAGUUCCAUCUAAAGCUAAAUAUUGGCGAGAGACCGAUAGCGAACAAGUACCGUGAGGGAAAGAUGAAAAGCACUUUGGAAAGAGAGUUAAACAGUACGUGAAAUUGUUGAAAGGGAAACGAUUGAAGUCAGUCGUGACCGAGAGGCUCAGCCGGUUCUGCCGGUGUAUUCCCCUCGGUCGGGUCAACAUCAGUUUUGUCCGGUGGAUAAGGGCGGUAGGAAGGUGGCACCCUCGGGUGUGUUAUAGCCUGCCGUCGCAUACAUCGGGUGAGACUGAGGAACGCAGCUCGCCUUUAUGGCCGGGGUUCGCCCACGUCCGAGCUUAGGAUGUUGACAUAAUGGCUUUAAACGACCCGUCUUGA